GUUUCCUGAUGAGUUUCUGGUCUCAGUCUCUAUUUCAGUCUUCUUCCAUACAGCAUGAUGUUCAUUUAGUAACUGAUGGUCCCAUUUAGAGUAAAACAGACCAUAAAGCAGGGUAUGCUUUAGGGCGGGGCUACCUUGUGAUUGACAGCUCAUUCUCAGUGAGUCCG
Dicentrarchus labrax (European seabass) is the source of this 167-nucleotide long non-coding RNA. RefSeq lists it as uncharacterized. The record is from RefSeq and is a predicted model, not a curated record. The transcript has 2 exons. Lineage: Eukaryota; Metazoa; Chordata; Actinopteri; Moronidae.